UACGUAGGGGGCAAGCGUUGUCCGGAUUCAUUGGGCGUAAAGAGCGUGUAGGCGGCCAGGUAGGUCGGUUGUGAAAACUGGAGGCUCAACCUUCAGAGGUCGACCGAAACCAUCUGGCUAGAGUCCGGGAGAGGAGAGUGGAAUUCCUGGUGUAGCGGUGAAAUGCGCAGAUAUCAGGAGGAACACCGGUGGCGAAGGCGGAUCUCUGGGCCAAUACUGACGCUGAGGAGCGAAAGCGUGGGGAGCGAACAGG
RNAcentral lists this ribosomal RNA (253 nucleotides) under uncultured bacterium. RNAcentral's name for it is "partial 16S ribosomal RNA". It matches the Rfam family "Bacterial small subunit ribosomal RNA", at positions 524 to 776 of the family's 1533-position model. The record is from RNAcentral.